GAUGAAGAACGUAGCGAAAUGCGAUAAGUAAUGUGAAUUGCAGAAUCCAGUGAAUCAUCGAAUCUUUGAACGCACAUUGCGCCCGCCAGCAUUCUGGCGGGCAUGCCUGUUCGAGCGUCAUUUCAACCCUCGACCUCCCCUUGGGGAGGUCGGCGUUGGGGACCGGCAGCACACCGCCGGUCCUGAAAUGGAGUGGCGGCCCGUCUGCGGCGACCUCUGCGUAGUAAUACAGCUCGCACCGGAACCCCGACGCGGCCACGCCGUAAAACACCCAACUUCUGAACGUUGACCUCGAAUCAGGUAGGACUACCCGCUGAACUUAAGCAUAUCAAUAAGCGGAGGA
Molecule: unclassified non-coding RNA, 343 nt
Filed under: soil metagenome
Description: partial contains 5.8S ribosomal RNA, internal transcribed spacer 2, and large subunit ribosomal RNA
Rfam family: 5.8S ribosomal RNA (bases 1-120)
Source: RNAcentral